AAGAGACUCUGGAGGUAUCAGAAGUGAGAAUGCAGGAAUAAGUAGCGAGAAUGGGGGCGAGAAUCCCCCACGCCGGAAGACCAAGGGUUCCAGGGUAAAGUUUGUCUCCCCUGGGUAAGCCGGGUCCUAAGCCGAGGCUAGAUUGCGUAGGCGAAUGGAAAACAGAUUAAUAUUUCUGUGCCACUGAUAUCAAGUGAUGGAGGGACGCAGGAGGUUAUGCACGCUGGCGAACGGAAGUGCCAGUUCAAGCAUGUAGCGUGGUCUAGUAGGAAAAUCCGCUAGAUUAAACGUGAGGUGUGAUGAGGAGUCGUAAGAUGGAAGGUGCAAAUACCACACUGCCGAGAAAAGCUUCUAAGCGUUAUAAAGAUAUUAGUGCCCGUACCCCAAACCGACACAGGUGGUCAGGAUGAGAAAUCUAAGGCGGACAGGCUAACUCUCGUUAAGGAACUCUGCAAAAUAGCCCCGUAACUUCGGGAGAAGGGGUGCCUUUUAUGGUGAGCGUACACGCGACGCAAAGCUAUGAGAGGCCGCAGUGAAGAGUCUCAGGCGACUGUUUAACAAAAACACAGGUCUAUGCUAAGCUGUAAGGCGACGUAUAUGGGCUGACACCUGCCCAGUGCCGGAAGGUUAAGAGGAGGAGUGAGAGCUCCGAAUUGAAGCCCCGGUGAACGGCGGCCGUAACUAUAACGGUCCUAAGGUAGCGAAAUUCCUUGUCGGGUAAGUUCCGACCUGCACGAAUGGUGUAACGAUCUGAGAGCUGUCUUGACGGGAGGCCUGGUGAAAUUGUAUUACCGGUGAAGAUACCGGUUACCUGCAGUAGGACGGAAAGACCCCAUGGAGCUUUACUGUAGCUUGGUAUUGGGUUUUGGCAUCGUAUGUAUAGGAUAGUUGGGAGACUAUGAUGCGU
This 907-nucleotide ribosomal RNA is filed under the name Cetobacterium somerae. Its description in RNAcentral is "partial 23S ribosomal RNA". It matches the Rfam family "Bacterial large subunit ribosomal RNA", at positions 1265 to 2165 of the family's 2925-position model. Lineage: Bacteria; Fusobacteriati; Fusobacteriota; Fusobacteriia; Fusobacteriales; Fusobacteriaceae. The record is from RNAcentral.